GGGCAAUUGGUCUAGUGGUACGAUUCUCCGUUCGGGUCGGAGAGGCCCCGGUUCAAACCCGGGAUUGCCCC
This 71-nucleotide transfer RNA is filed under the name Cytospora mali. RNAcentral describes it as "tRNA-Pro (CGG) (tRNA-Pro-CGG-1-1)". It matches the Rfam family "tRNA". Rfam says of the family: Transfer RNA (tRNA) molecules are approximately 80 nucleotides in length. The record is from RNAcentral. Lineage: Eukaryota; Fungi; Ascomycota; Sordariomycetes; Diaporthales; Cytosporaceae.